Molecule: long non-coding RNA, 441 nt
Filed under: Gallus gallus (chicken)
Lineage: Eukaryota; Metazoa; Chordata; Aves; Galliformes; Phasianidae
Source: RNAcentral
CAAAGAAUGAAAGAAAGAAAAACCUGUUAUUUGAAUGAGUAGCCACAGGAGAAUUCUGGAUGCUGACAGAAAUUCUUACCUAAACUAGGGAAUACUAGGGAAUACUGAUGAUUAUGUUGCAGGGAAAAACUGAUCUCUCUUUCUUGUGAUAAUAUUUAUUUAUUUAUUUAUUUGGUUUAAAAAAAAAAAGAAGUACUGCAUGCAAGUCGAAUUUCAGAAUUCCACAAAGUGAGCUGUGUGCCAAAGCUCAGAGAGCUGUUGAAGGCAACUUUGACUGGUGACCUGCAGAAAAUAUGACUUCUGAGUAUACUACUGGGUCUACAAGAUUGGUGCAAGAGUAGUGUGAAGAUGCUUCUUCAUUUCUGCUUCAUUACUCACCGAAAGAUGUGGUGCAUGAUGGGAGUGCGUAGAGCUAGAGAACACACACUGCCUGAAGCUAAG